UGGGGAAUUUUGGACAAUGGGCGAAAGCCUGAUCCAGCAAUGCCGCGUGUGUGAAGAAGGCCUUCGGGUUGUAAAGCACUUUUGUCCGGAAAGAAAUCCUUGGCUCUAAUACAGUCGGGGGAUGACGGUACCGGAAGAAUAAGCACCGGCUAACUACGUGCCAGCAGCCGCGGUAAUACGUAGGGUGCAAGCGUUAAUCGGAAUUACUGGGCGUAAAGCGUGCGCAGGCGGUUUGCUAAGACCGAUGUGAAAUCCCCGGGCUCAACCUGGGAACUGCAUUGGUGACUGGCAGGCUAGAGUAUGGCAGAGGGGGGUAGAAUUCCACGUGUAGCAGUGAAAUGCGUAGAGAUGUGGAGGAAUACCGAUGGCGAAGGCAGCCCCCUGGGCCAAUACUGACGCUCAUGCACGAAAGCGUGGGGAGCAAACAGGAUUAGAUACCCUGGUAGCCCACGCCCUAAAACGAUGUCAACUAGUUGUUGGGGAUUCAUUUCCUUAGUAACGUAGCUAACGCGUGAAGUUGACCGCCUGGGGAGUACGGUCGCAAGAUUAAAACUUAAAUGAAUUGACGGGGUCAUAGCUGUUUCCU
Molecule: ribosomal RNA, 586 nt
Filed under: uncultured bacterium
Lineage: Bacteria
Description: partial 16S ribosomal RNA
Rfam family: Bacterial small subunit ribosomal RNA
Source: RNAcentral